Molecule: ribosomal RNA, 700 nt
Filed under: Pelagodinium bei
Lineage: Eukaryota; Dinophyceae; Suessiales; Suessiaceae
Description: eukaryotic LSU rRNA
Rfam family: Eukaryotic large subunit ribosomal RNA
Source: RNAcentral
UUCCCUUAGUAAUGGCGAACGAACCAGGGAUGAGCUCGGCUUGGAAAACUGGGCCUUGGCCUUGGAUUGUAGCCUCUAGACAUAGUGCCAACGGAGGCGCAGGUGCAAGCCUCUUGGAAAAGAGCAUCAAUGUGGGUGAGAAUCCUGUGUUUCACUUGCAGUCCACCGUGCACGGCACAUGUUCUCAGAGUCGCGUUCCUCGGAAUUGGAGCGUAAAGUGGGUGGUAAAUUUCAUCUAAAGCUAAAUAUAGGCUUGAGACCGAUAGCAAACAAGUACCAUGAGGGAAAGAUGAAAAGGACUUUGAAAAGAGAGUUAAAAGUGCUUGAAAUCGCUGAAAGGGAAGCGAAUGGAACCAGUCUUCUGGCUGAGAUUGCUGCAUGCUACUGUGAUGCCUGGCUGCUUCAACGCAAGUGUUGUAGUUAGAGUUGAUCAGCUGCGUGUGGUGUUUCUCAGCUUGUUAGUCAACCUCUGUUUGCGCUUGGGGAUAGCCUCAGGUACACGUCGCUUCUCUGCGGAGUUGCUCCUGUGCUUGUAGGGACUCAGGUGCAUACUUUUGGUGACAAAAUGGUUCUCUUCGACCCGUCUUGAAACACGGACCAAGGAGUCUAGCACAUGUGCAAGUUCACAGGUGGCAAGCCUGCUUGCGCAAUGAAGGUGACUGCUGGGAUAUUUGCACCAGCAACCGACCAAUCAAUUGAG